AGUGAUAUAACAGCAUGCUAGUUUAUCUUUUAGUUACCUACCUUAAGCGACUUUCUUUCUUUUCCAAAGGCCAUGAGAAUGGCCGAAACGAAAAGAUUAAUUACCACAAGUACCAUCAAGAUGACACUGGUGAGGAUCAGAAAGGUGCCCAGGACUGGGUCUAAAGCGAAAACCUGGGAAAACAAUAAGAACACUUGCAGUGACUGACAAUUUAGUUUAUACUUUACAAACAUAAGCUAUAUGCUAGUGUUUGGGAUCUUAUCAGAAGAAAAGCUUAUCCGAAGGAAACUUAGGGAGAGAGUCAAAAGAUAAUAAGAAGGAAAAUACUUUUAAAUGGACAGAAGAGCAGGAAUGACUCAUUUUAAGGAGGUUAAGAUAAUUGUGACUGCAGGGCUUUCACAAGAAAACAGGUGAGUUGCAGUGGAAUUGGAAAUGAUUCAAAUGUCACAUGAGUUUUGGCAAAAAAUACAUCUAAUCAUGGAAGCUAAAAGUGGGAGGGGGGUAAGCAAACACUGAAAGAUUAAAUGCAUACCAGAAAUGAGAAUGCACACUGUCUCUGCCAUAUCAAGAAACUACAACCCUAAACACAGGAGCAUUCCAAUAAAAGUUAACAGGUUGGCCACAGAAAACUGGCUUUUUAGUAUUUUUUUUUUUCCAUUGUCAUUUUUAAAGGUACAAGCAUUGAGUUCUGCCAUUCUUUACUUUUCUGCAUACAUAAAUAUCAAGUUCUGGGCUUAUUGGAAUGGUUCCCAUAACAAAAACUGUUGUUUAAAAUUUAGAUGUUCUUUUUCAACAAAUGGUAUUUAUUUUCCCUUGGUAUUGGCCCAUUCAUUGUUGCCACUAGGGCACUGUUUAAAAAUAUCCCAACAGAGGGGUUGAUUACAGUCAAUGCCACCCUGAUGGAAAUCUAUAUGGCAAAAUAUUUUCAAGCACCAAACUGUUUUACCUACUUAAAAAUGAUUAUUAUAACAAUUUCAGGUCAACCAGAUAAUGUGGGCAAUCUCUGAGUUUGUGAUACAAGACUUAUUUCCAAUAAGUUUAUUUUUAUGUACAAUUUUACUGUUUAUUUUUUGUUUGCUCUAUUUGUUUUUUAAUGUUUUUUACUUUAUGUUUACUGUAUUUUUAUGUACAAUUACAUCCAAAGCAGAAAAGUUCCUUUUUUAUCCCCAAAAGGAGGUGUCAGCAAAAA
Molecule: long non-coding RNA, 1189 nt
Filed under: Homo sapiens (human)
Lineage: Eukaryota; Metazoa; Chordata; Mammalia; Primates; Hominidae
Description: long non-coding RNA NONHSAT143536
Source: RNAcentral